This is a long non-coding RNA of Sinocyclocheilus grahami, 199 nucleotides long. RefSeq lists it as uncharacterized. The transcript has 4 exons. NCBI's taxonomy places the organism in Eukaryota, Metazoa, Chordata, Actinopteri, Cypriniformes, Cyprinidae. The record is from RefSeq and is a predicted model, not a curated record.
CAUCUUGUCUUGGGAGCACCCUUUGAUUUUACAUCUUGUGACAUUCCAAUCAUACGGAGAUGGUGGACUCCAGAUGGUUUUCUCUGAAAGUGCAGAAACCCUACAAGAGGCCCUUCCAAUUGGAUAACAGGCUACGCUUGUGAGGAGAUCCCAGUAAUCUCACAGACGUUGUGAAAUGGCUCCAUUAAACAGACAUCUG